GAUGAACGCUAGCGGCAGGCCUAAUACAUGCAAGUCGAACGGUAAGUCCCUGCUUGCAGGGAACACGAGUGGCGCACGGGUGCGUAACGCGUAUGCAACCUACCUUCAACAGAGGAAUAGCCCCGAGAAAUCGGGAUUAAUACUUCAUAAUUAUAAGUUUUGGCAUCAUUACUUAUUUAAAGCUCCGGCGGUUGAAGAUGGGCAUGCGUAACAUUAGAUAGUUGGUGAGGUAACGGCUCACCAAGUCUACGAUGUUUAGGGGUUCUGAGAGGAUUAUCCCCCACACUGGUACUGAGACACGGACCAGACUCCUACGGGAGGCAGCAGUAAGGAAUAUUGGUCAAUGGACGAAAGUCUGAACCAGCCAUGCCGCGUGCAGGAUGACAGCCCUAUGGGUCGUAAACUGCUUUUAUAUGGGAAGAAACCCCUCUACGUGUAGAGGGCUGACGGUACCAUAAGAAUAAGGAUCGGCUAACUCCG
RNAcentral lists this ribosomal RNA (480 nucleotides) under uncultured Bacteroidota bacterium. Its description in RNAcentral is "bacterial SSU rRNA". It matches the Rfam family "Bacterial small subunit ribosomal RNA", at positions 28 to 505 of the family's 1533-position model. The record is from RNAcentral. Lineage: Bacteria; Pseudomonadati; Bacteroidota.